Molecule: unclassified non-coding RNA, 359 nt
Filed under: uncultured fungus
Lineage: Eukaryota; Fungi
Description: sequence contains ITS1
Rfam family: 5.8S ribosomal RNA (bases 1-107)
Source: RNAcentral
GAAAUGCGAUACUUGGUGUGAAUUGCAGAAUCCCGUGAACCAUCGAGUCUUUGAACGCAAGUUGCGCCCGAGGCCUCCUGGUCGAGGGCACGUCUGCCUGGGUGUCACGCAUCGUCGCCCCCGCUCCCCUCGGCUCACGAGGGCGGGGGCGGAUACUGGUCUCCCGCGCGCUCCCGCCCGUGGUUGGCCUAAAAUCGAGUCCCCGGCGACGGUCGCCACGACAAGCGGUGGUUGAGAGACCCUCGGACACGGUCGUGCGCGUGCUCGUCGCCCCCGGACCUCCCGGACCCCCGAGCAUUGGCUUUCAAGGAUGCUCUCGUUGCGACCCCAGGUCAGGCGGGACUACCCGCUGAGUUUAA